CAAGUGACCCCGGUCUAACCACCGGGAUGUUCAUAACCCUUUGUUGUCCGACUCUGUUGCCCUCCGGGGCGACCCUGCCUUCGGGCGGGGGCUCCGGGUGGACACUCCAAACUCUUGCGUAACUUUGCAGUCUGAGUAAACUUAAUUAAUAAAUUA
Molecule: unclassified non-coding RNA, 156 nt
Filed under: soil metagenome
Description: partial internal transcribed spacer 1
Source: RNAcentral